RNAcentral lists this ribosomal RNA (471 nucleotides) under uncultured organism. Its description in RNAcentral is "bacterial SSU rRNA". It matches the Rfam family "Bacterial small subunit ribosomal RNA", at positions 28 to 507 of the family's 1533-position model. The record is from RNAcentral.
GACGAACGCUGGCGGCGUGCCUAACACAUGCAAGUCGAGCGGAGGCAAUUGAGGAGUAAUCUGAGAUUGCCUGAGCGGCGGACGGGUGAGUAACGCGUGAGCAACCUGCCUUUCACAGGGGGAUAACGCAGCGAAAGCUGCACUAAUACCGCAUGAGACCACGGCGGAGAUACCGCAGGGGUCAAAGGAGCAAUCCGGUGAGAGAUGGGCUCGCGUCCGAUUAGGUAGUUGGUGAGGUAAAGGCCCACCAAGCCAAUGAUCGGUAGCCGGCCUGAGAGGGUGAACGGCCACAUUGGAACUGAGAGACGGUCCAAACUCCUACGGGAGGCAGCAGUGGGGAAUAUUGGGCAAUGGGGGAAACCCUGACCCAGCAACGCCGCGUGAGGGAAGAAGGUUUUCGGAUUGUAAACCUCUGUUCUUGGUGAAGAGAAGAAGACGGUAGCCAAGGAGGAAGCCCCGGCUAACUACGUG